RNAcentral lists this long non-coding RNA (3379 nucleotides) under Macaca fascicularis (crab-eating macaque). Its description in RNAcentral is "lncRNA (ENSMFAG00000048145.1)". The record is from RNAcentral. Lineage: Eukaryota; Metazoa; Chordata; Mammalia; Primates; Cercopithecidae.
UGGCCGCCGCUUCCCCCACAAAAUUCCGUCACUCAGGAGCUGCGUUGCGGUGGAGAACCUGGGUCCCGUCCGGGCCCAAGGGAGGAGGGUCAGCACGGCCGCUCCCACAGACCAGUCCAGGCGCCUCUUCCCUCCUCCUGCUUUCCGCAGCGGUCUCGGCGGCGGCGGGCGGCUGGAGCGGGAGCCGGGGGCGGCGAGGGGCGGAGCCGGGGCGGAGCCACGGCGCUAGCUGCCCGGGCGGCGGCAGGUGUGGAUGGGGCGAAGGUGCGGGAACGUCCACUCCCGCGCGCCUCUUUUGGGGGCCAGGGCUCGGGGACUGGAGCGGCCUUCCAGGAGGAGCUUCGUGAGCAACUGCGACCUGCGCAUAACUUGGAGCGCAGCCAGGGACGCGCAGGUUCCACGUCCGGCGCCUGGGGAGAAAAGACGCGCGUCCCCGGCCGCGGCGCCGGAGCCGGCUGGGGACCGCCUGGUCCCGGGCCAGACCUGGGAGGCGGUGUUCCGAGAGCCGCCUGGUCUGGGGUGCGGGGAGCGGGAAGCGGCCCUGCGUGUGCGCUUGGGCGAGGCCGGGCGGCGCUUCUGCCCUCCUACUCGGACCCUCAGGUAGAAAUGGAUUCCCAGAAAUACCUCCUCAAGGCCAGUGUAGAGCCCUCAAUCACUCGCACCCCCAGCUUCUCCCUCUUCCAUCUCCUGCACCAAGCAGGUCUCCAGGUGUUCCAGCUGCUGAUGAAGUGCAGUGUGGAGUUGGUCCAGGAAGGUCAUGUUCCAUGCAGCAGAGGAGCACUCCGUGUAAGAAGCUGAAGACCUGCUGCAGCACAUCAUAGAGGAAAGACAUAGCCUGGGCCUUCUGCAACUGGCUGACUUCCACCAUCUCCUGGGGGAAUCUGAAGUCACUUCUGUCCUUCAGACACAAGAAAGGAGAAAUUCUCCUCAUUCAGCCCAGAAGCAUCAAGGUGUUUCUGCCUAGCAGACCACGGUUCUGAGGCAGAUUACAACCUAGAGAUCCAAAAGAGCCAUAGCCGCACACCUCUAGGGCCACCAGUAGAGGAAAGAGGAGGGCCAUUGGGAAAUCAGGAUGCUUUUGGCCUGGCUGAACUGAGAUCUGGAUGAACCUUGGAUCCUAGGUUCCAUGAAGACAUUCUAUCUAUGCAUGGCUUUAAUGGAGCACAAAUGGUUUUCAUUUUUCUGAGCAUUUCUCUAAAUUUUUAAUUCCACUUAUUGUUUUCAUUUACAUGUCUUCUGUAUCAGCAUCCACAACCUUUUGGCCACCAGUUUGGUGGAAGACAAUUUUUCCACGAAAAACGGGGUUGGGGAGAGAACAUUUUUAGAGGCAUUAGAUUCUCAUUAGGAGACCACAACCUAGAUCCCUCGCAUCUGCACUUCACAAUAGGGUUCCCACUCUUUUGAGAAUCUAAUGCCACUGCUGAUCUUACAGGAGGUGGAGCUCAGGCGUUAAUGCUUGUUGGUUGGCCUGCUUGCUUCCUGCUGUGCAGCACUGUUCCUACCAGGCCAGGACCAGUACUCCAGUCCAUGGAUGGGGGUUGAAAACCUUGUUCUAUAUGACCUAAAAGGAGGUCAUCACUCUACACUCUUGAUUUUUGCAAUACAUGUUCAAUAUUCCCAGUAAACUUAAGAUAUUAUCAAUCCAAAUGGAUAUUGAUCGAUCAAAUGAGAAACAUCUUUGUGUUAAUGUUAGAAGUAUAUACUUUUAGCCCCGAUCCUAGCCUCCAAUUUUACCCUCCAUUUUGCAUAGGAAAUCAGGAUCCCUGGGCCCUAUGGGUUUCUGUAUUCAGUUAGGGAAUUACCUAUCUCUGGAAAUUAAACGCUUUAAGACUAUCUUUGUUUGAUAUUUGAUUCACAGCAGAUGUUGACAGUUAUUAGUGAAAGAACUUCGCCGGUGCUUCCCUUCUUCUAGAAUAUAUUCAUUCAGGUUCAUGUGGUUGUGCUUCCCUGGGGGCUCAAGCUUAGAUCAAUGAACAUUGCCUUUUUUGCAUUAUUUUCUUAUUGGAGAAACGUAGCACUCCUCACACUGUGCUAAUACCCCUAGAAGGAAUUCUGUUUUUUUUUUAAGGUGCAUAUGGGUGUGGAAAUUUUAAUCUUAAAAUAAUGUUAUUUCCUCAGCAGUGAGGACUCACAAGGUAUUUAUCACAUCAAGUCAUUCCCUAAGUGCAGGCUCACCACAUCCUGAUGACUUUAGAACUCCUUUCCCAACGAGGUUCUUGCUUCUUUGUUGCCAAAACAAUAAAUCCUUUGUGACCUUUGUCCUCGCUCCUAGAAUAUUUGGGUGAAGGAAUAUUUGCUCUCAAUGGUGACCUCCUCUUCUUCUGACCCAUGCCCUAGGUAUCAAAACUCUCAACAGCCCUAGAACGCUGAUAGCAAAGGUUUGUUUUGUCCAAGUAGGUAAAAGGAAUUAUCCAAUUGUAAUCAUUUUAUCUUCAGUAGUUCAAUAAUUUUACUUCGCCAAGUACAGCUUUUAUUCUUCACCUCUGGCUAUCUUUAAUUCUUUUAAACUAUUGAACGGUUUUUAUGCUUGAAACUUCUGAGCUAUGCACAGGAGACUCAAAGACGCUGCUGCCUCUCUUUAGAGGCUCAUAUUACAGAAACUGGUGACCCUGAGUUGUUCACCAGUUCAGUGUGAUCUGUUGACGUUCCUUACCUCUCUGUCUACAUGAAACUUUGACGGUGCAGGGCAGUGAGCCCCAUGCUAUCAUGUUAAAUAGUCAUAGUCAUCUUUCCUUUACUGAUUUAUGAUUCUUCAUUUUAAAUUUAAAGGUCAACAACAAGUGAAUUUUUAGAACUCCUUUUUGACGUAGUGGUUUACUGGGCAAAGUUUGCCUUGCUGCUACCACAUUACAUUCUAAUUCAUGAUGAAGUAACACAAACAAAGGGAAGUAAAAGAAAGGCAAAAGAGCUCCACUGGUUUUCUCUAUAAUUUCCAAAAUUUGUGUUUUUCUUGUUUCUCAUUUCAACUUUUGUAGAAAGUACUACUUGACAAUUGUUUGUAGGCAGAAAGAAAACACAAGCAAUUCUGAUUGUCAUGAAAGUGAAAUAAGGGAAGUGACUUUCCCCUUACUAACUGCAAAGUGUAGGUUAGCAAAAUUCAAUGCAGCAAAAAUUGGGGACUAGAGAGUUUUCAAAGAUCAGCUACUUGACUUUCUUUCACUUAAUCCACAUGUGAUCAGCUCUGGAGAGAAGGAAGAAGUCACACCAACCAACUCCCAAAAGAUUGACAACCAGGCUGCAGUUGCUAGAACACCAACAAAUCUCUCUGGCAGGUUAUUAGACAUUAAGCUUGUCUGAAGACUCUACCUAGUUAAUAAAUCCACCCAGGCAAUGAUAAGAUAGUCUUGAGAAACCUGGAACUAAUAGAAAGAGAAUCAGA